UAAUACGGAGGGUGCAAGCGUUAUCCGGAAUCAUUGGGUUUAAAGGGUCCGCAGGCGGUCAAUUAAGUCAGAGGUGAAAUCCCGUCGCUCAACGACGGAACUGCCUUUGAUACUGGUCGACUUGAGUUAUACGGAAGUAGAUAGAAUAAGUAGUGUAGCGGUGAAAUGCAUAGAUAUUACUUAGAAUACCGAUUGCGAAGGCAGUCUACUACGUAUAUACUGACGCUCAUGGACGAAAGCGUGGGGAGCGAACAGGAUUAGAUACCCUGGUAGUCCACGCCGUAAACGAUGGACACUAGUUGUUGGAAUUAUUCAGUGACUAAGCGAAAGUGAUAAGUGUCCCACCUGGGGAGUACGAUCGCAAGAUUG
RNAcentral lists this ribosomal RNA (369 nucleotides) under uncultured Bacteroidota bacterium. Its description in RNAcentral is "bacterial SSU rRNA". It matches the Rfam family "Bacterial small subunit ribosomal RNA", at positions 521 to 896 of the family's 1533-position model. Lineage: Bacteria; Pseudomonadati; Bacteroidota. The record is from RNAcentral.